AAGCGCUUGCAGCCAGACUUGCCUGUAGUUGCUCAUCCGGGUUUUUACCCGGUGCACUCUUCUAUAGGCAGGCCAGCAUCAGUUUGGGCGGUUGGAUAAAGGUCUCUGUCAUGUACCUCUCUUCGGGGAG
This 130-nucleotide ribosomal RNA is filed under the name Phoma herbarum. RNAcentral's name for it is "partial large subunit ribosomal RNA". The record is from RNAcentral. Lineage: Eukaryota; Fungi; Ascomycota; Dothideomycetes; Pleosporales; Didymellaceae.